This 504-nucleotide ribosomal RNA is filed under the name uncultured Pseudomonadota bacterium. Its description in RNAcentral is "bacterial SSU rRNA". It matches the Rfam family "Bacterial small subunit ribosomal RNA", at positions 399 to 896 of the family's 1533-position model. The record is from RNAcentral. Lineage: Bacteria; Pseudomonadati; Pseudomonadota.
GCGUGUGUGAAGAAGGCCUUCGGGUUGUAAAGUCACUUUGUUCGGAAAGAAAUCGCCUGGGUUAAUACCCUGGGUGGAUGACGGUACCGGAAGAAUAAGCACCGGCUAACUACGUGCCAGCAGCCGCGGUAAUACGUAGGAUGCAAGCGUUAAUCGGAAUUACUGGGCGUAAAGCGUGCGCAGGCGGUUGUGCAAGACAGAUGUGAAAUCCCCGGGCUUAACCUGGGAACUGCAUUUGUGACUGCACGGCUAGAGUGUGUCAGAGGGGGGUAGAAUUCCACGUGUAGCAGUGAAAUGCGUAGAUAUGUGGAGGAAUACCGAUGGCGAAGGCAGCCCCCUGGGAUAACACUGACGCUCAUGCACGAAAGCGUGGGGAGCAAACAGGAUUAGAUACCCUGGUAGUCCACGCCCUAAACGAUGUCAACUAGUUGUCGGGGAUUAAUUUCCUUGGUAACGCAGCUAACGCGUGAAGUUGACCGCCUGGGGAGUACGGUCGCAAGAUUA